RNAcentral lists this long non-coding RNA (766 nucleotides) under Homo sapiens (human). RNAcentral's name for it is "family with sequence similarity 242 member A, transcript variant 4 (FAM242A)". Lineage: Eukaryota; Metazoa; Chordata; Mammalia; Primates; Hominidae. The record is from RNAcentral.
AGCCAGCCCCCGGCAGGGCCAGCGCAGGGUUUCUGCGGGGCCGUCCUGUGGCUCUGAUAUCUAUGAGUGGGUGGCCAGCAAAGGCACAGGCACCAGCAGAAAGGAGCAGAGAUGCCCAGAACAUGCUGUCCCCCAAUGCCAGCCCCAAGCGAGGCCAGCUUAGGGUGCGGUGGGCAGAGCCAUCCUGCAGCUCUGAGAUCCACGAAGUGGAGGUGGGAGUAGCGCCAGGCUCCACGGCGUUGGAGCUCUCACAACUUGAGCUCAAUUUUAUUCCGGAGCCAUGACCUGCAGCACAUUGGUGACCAGAAGACGCCCAAAGGCAUUGUGUGAUCAAAGCAAAAUAAAUAUGUUCUUGUUUCUGGAAUUACUAAAGCUUUGAAAAUGGACUUAUCGACCUCAAACCAAUGGGACAUAUUCCUACAUGGCCUUCUCCCCUGUUAGGGUUCCCAGGGUAUGUCUUUAAUGUCUGGUUUAAUAGAAGAAGACUUGGUUCUCCUUUCUGCUUCUAUGUUUAAUUUCUUGUGACAUCCCACGUCAGGUAGCUGGGAAACUCCAAUUAUACUUGUGAGAGAAUGAAAGUGGAAAAGCUGGGCAGAUGUGCCUGAGACAGGUUUGACCAGGCAACUGAAAAGAUAUCCCUAAGAGAAGACAAAGCAAAGGUAUGAAAGGAACACACGUCCCUGACUGACUAGGAGGAACAGAGCUGCCUGCUGUCUGGAACCGCUUCCUCCCAGACUAAGAGAGAAAUAAACUUCUGUUUUCUAUA